Molecule: ribosomal RNA, 377 nt
Filed under: uncultured bacterium
Lineage: Bacteria
Description: bacterial SSU rRNA
Rfam family: Bacterial small subunit ribosomal RNA
Source: RNAcentral
UAAGACGUAGGGGGCGAGCGUUGUCCGGAUUUAUUGGGCGUAAAGCGCGCGCAGGCGGCUCGCUAAGUCGGAUGUGAAAACCCGAGGCUCAACCUCGGGCCUGCAUUCGAUACUGGCGAGCUCGAGGCAGGUAGGGGAGAUCGGAAUUCCCGGUGUAGCGGUGAAAUGCGCAGAUAUCGGGAGGAACACCGGUGGCGAAGGCGGAUCUCUGGGCCUGUCCUGACGCUCAGGCGCGAAAGCUGGGGGAGCGAACAGGAUUAGAUACCCUGGUAGUCCCAGCCGUAAACGUUGGGUGCUAGGUGUGGGAGGCAUCAACCCCUUCCGUGCCGUCGCCAACGCAUUAAGCACCCCGCCUGGGGAGUACGGCCGCAAGGCUA